GACCAGGGUUGGGGAGGCCGGGUGUUCUCGCUGGGGUGGAGGAGCAGGUGAGGGCCGGGAGGCCGACGGUGGGGGAGCAGCGAGGCCGUCGGAUGGAGCCGCGAGGCCCGAACUCUAGGCGUCGUACACAUUGCAGGAUGGAGAAGAGGUCGGUGUGGGGCCCAAGGAGCAGCGGGGCAAGAACAGUGGGGGUGGGGCUUUCAUCUCCUCUGUUCUAAUCGCGACUCCUGCGACCUCGUCACCGGUGCUCGCUCGACUGGCAUAUGGGGCGGCGGCCGGGACGUUGGCCCUCCGCACGAACUCGAAGCCGAGUCUAGCUGACGAGCCCCGUGCGAUUGUGUGAAGCAAGUAUACGUGGCGAUGUAGGCCGUCGGGUAGUGUAGCAGCCUGCACACACGACAUGAGCAGCAGCCAGGUCCAUGGGCGUUGCUUGUGGAGCAGCGGUCAAGUCACGGUGUGCCAUCAAUUGAGAAAAUAACUUUCCUUCUUGUGAGAUAUCAAACAAUACAUGUCCUACAAAUCCGAGAUUCAAGCAGCCUUGUUGAGGUACGAAGAAUUGGUGCAUUUUGUCGGAAGAUGACGAGCUAUGUCUUCAUUCACAUGGCCAGGCUGCACAAUGGAGUUCUUUUCUUCCCGGUAUCAAGCAACGGUUGCUAUCAUUUAUUUUCCACAGGACUUGGAAUGAGGAACCUGAACAGGCUUUGCUUACCUACUUAGCUAUCUUGCACGCCAUUCAUUCAUUAGCUAUGUGAUCUUGAUCUGUGAUUUGCAUUCAUACUUGAUUGGUUAUUCCCAGAUUGAUCUCAAUAUUUUUGAAUGCUCAAGCCAAUUACGAUGCUUAAAAUCAUCUCUAACUUAUUGCAUUCAUUACUGAAAUUUUCACACUCCCUAUCAUUAUUAUGUAUAGUGAAUCUUGCAUCUUUUGAAUUGUUGAAACAAACUUAUGCUUAAUUGCUUACGCCCAUUUCUUUCUUCGUCGUGUGGUCUUUGUUGUGAAUGAAAAAUGCUUUGUCUCGACUUGUUUGAAUUAGUAAUUUUGAUUUGCAAAGAGUCCAACAUCUGCGGAAGAAAUUUUAUUUUCACUUUGAAGACUAUGUGGAUCUUAUCAUAUAGAAGGUACCUAAUAUAUAUACAUUCAAGACUAGCUUUAUUGAAUCACAAUAGCAUUGUGGAAACAUAGUUUGUUGGUUCUGAACUUUUGCGGCACAUAAAUUUUAGCUUUCAGGAAUUAUGAUAUUGGCCAUUUCCACUAAACAAUAGAAGGGCACAUGUAAGGACAUAUAGAAACUGAAGUUAACGUAAUCCCAUAGGAUAUAGUGUGAGAAUAGUACACCGAUUUAGUGAGGCAAGUAGUGGCUUGUUUUGCCAUCCCUGUGAUGAAAGUUACUUUAGGUAAUCUUGGUAUAGAAUCAUUUCCUUAAAUUGUAACUUAGGGUCAGACGGGGAUUGUUAUUUCACCUGAAUAUUUUAUUAUGCUUCUAAGUUAUGGAAAUAGAUAGAGUAAGAGGAAAUGGGGUGUUGUUAGGUGGGACCUUGCCACAGUUGCCUUGGUUUUUUGCAUGGAAGCUCGACUCUCUAUGGCUAGCCUUCCAUGGUUAGAUCGAGGGUCCCAAGCUGCAGGUGAGCUCUUCUUUUCACCUGCAGGUUAUGAGUUAUCUCCACCUCAAUGAGAUUUAGUUUGCACACUAACGACUAUAGGUUGCGUAAUGUUUGGAGUGGUCUUCUUCCAUAUUUCUCCAGUUCAGUCAUGUAUUUCUUUGCGGCCAUUUUCGCUUCAAUAUUCCCUUAUUCUCACAUGUUGGUUGCGACUUCUUUGUUUAUGUUGGGCUAUUCUGUGAACUGCCAUCAUAACAGCUUGCUGAAAAUAGUGUUGUCGGAUGGUAGCCAUUAUUGGUACAACUUAAGUGCUUAUCAGUUAACUUAUUUGAGCUCUACGGGGCAGCCAAAUGAUUAUUGGGUGAUUUAUUUGCAGUAAAUUAUAGUGUUACUUUGAUUGAUUCUAGGAUGUGCUUGAGCAUAACUUUGCCACUUCUCGGAUUAAUCUAUUCAGUAGUAGAAUGUUGGAAUAAAGUAUUAGACAGAUAAUUAGUUCAUCCAAGCCUCCACUUGCUCCCAUUUCCUGCAAGUUCAUAUGCAAUCAGGAACAACCAUGGGAAAUCUUUGGUUUACUGUUUUUUCUCUGGAUUCCUACCAGUGCCUAGCGUCGGUGUUAUUUAGAGUUUUCGAUAAUUUAUUCAGUGGAGCUAAAUUGUGCCUUUCAUCCCAUGUUCUUGUGUGACAAUAAAGUAUGGUACAAAAGAUAAUUAAAUUAACAAAAAGAUUGUGGUGGCCAUUUAGUUCAAAAUGCACCAAUUCCUACAUAGACAACCAGUUGACUAGACUAUGUGCUAGAAUUUAGUUCAAAAUUCACCAGUUCUUACAUGGACAACCAUUUGACUGAACUAUGUGGGAGAACUUAGGUUUCCUUCAUGGUACUGAAUGACAGCCUAAUGAUGUGAUUCCAGGAAGGGAAGGAUGUGGCCGCAAAGGCCAAGACUGGUUCUAGAAAGACCUUUGCCUACCUUCUCCCACUGUUGCAAGAGCUGCUGAAGUUGUGCAAAGAAGGGCGUAUUCAGAAAUCUACACCAAAUGACUUAAUCCUGGUGCCAACUCGCGACUUAUGCUAGCAGGGCUUAAUGGCGGCGCCAACUUGAGAAACUCAUGUAGGAUUAAUAGAACCAACGCCAAUGCCGCUUCUAUUAGACAAUGAUAUGCUAAACACACAACCAAAUGGUCCUAUUUUCUAAGGAUAAAUAGUUGAUGAUUCAGUUUCUUGGCUAUGGAAGCUACACACCUAUUCUGAGAAAAAUAAAGGCAUCCUUCACAACAGUGUUUUUCUUCUCAGUUUAUGAAACCUCAAACAAUAGUGAGAUAUAACCGUUUAGUUUAUUUUUCAAUCAAAGCUUCCAUUGAAUCAUUUAUUAGAAUUGUGCUCCAGCUAAUUCAGAAACUAUGUGAUUUAUAAAUCCAGUCUAGUAUUCAUUGGUGCCAUGUUGGAAUUCUUCUAUAGAUGUUCCCAAAUGGCUAUUCGUACAUUCAUACAAGAUAAGGCUUUGUGUGCAUUGAAAUCACAGCGACCUUGGCCCCCUUGUCUUAUUUCUUUGUACAUUUGACUCAUACAUGCAACCAACAUGUCCAUGCGAUCUAAAUGAAUUUUCCAUAUCCAGUUUUUUGUUGUGAUGUCUUUGAUUUUUGUCUCUCUUCUAGAUUUACAUAGAGAAACCUGGUCAGUACUGAAGAAUUUUGUGUUCUUUCCUAUUGAUGGCCUUUAGGUAUUUUUUUAUGGGACAAUUCCAUUACUCGCCCUAACUUGAACCCACACCUGGCAUUUACCCCUAAAUUUCAAGUAUGCUCAAAAAUACCCCUGCGCUGUUAGGUGGUGUUAUAGAAAUACCCGUGAGCGUCGUUUUUGUUAGGUCAAAGGGGUUUGACCAUGUGAUUUGUCCAAAAUGCCCCUGGAUGGUACUAGUCCACAUUCGGUAAAGAAAAAAAACUAAGUCAAAGUUAGACUAAUCAAUGGAGACAAGUCAAAUUUGGUUUUGGAGGCCCACAUGUCAUUCUCUCUUUAAGGUUUUUAUAACUGUUUUAUAGUUAGUAAAGGGCCCAUGAGUCAGUGGAACACAUAACUGGAGGGUUAGCCUAAAUCGCUU
This is a long non-coding RNA of Triticum dicoccoides, 3689 nucleotides long. RefSeq lists it as uncharacterized. The transcript has 6 exons. The record is from RefSeq and is a predicted model, not a curated record. NCBI's taxonomy places the organism in Eukaryota, Viridiplantae, Streptophyta, Magnoliopsida, Poales, Poaceae.